GACGAACGCUGGCGGCGUGCUUAACACAUGCAAGUCGAACGGAAAGGCCCUGCUUUUGUGGGGUGCUCGAGUGGCGAACGGGUGAGUAACACGUGAGUAACCUGCCCUUGACUUUGGGAUAACUUCAGGAAACUGGGGCUAAUACCGGAUAGGAGCUCCUGCUGCAUGGUGGGGGUUGGAAAGUUUCGGCGGUUGGGGAUGGACUCGCGGCUUAUCAGCUUGUUGGUGGGGUAGUGGCUUACCAAGGCUUUGACGGGUAGCCGGCCUGAGAGGGUGACCGGCCACAUUGGGACUGAGAUACGGCCCAGACUCCUACGGGAGGCAGCAGUGGGGAGUAUUGCACAAUGGGCGGAAGCCUGAUGCAGCAACGCCGCGUGCGGGAUGACGGCCUUCGGGUUGUAAACCGCUUCCGCCUGUGACGAAGCGUGAGUGACGGUAAUGGGUAAAGAAGCACCGGCUAACUACGUG
RNAcentral lists this ribosomal RNA (468 nucleotides) under uncultured bacterium. RNAcentral describes it as "partial 16S ribosomal RNA". It matches the Rfam family "Bacterial small subunit ribosomal RNA", at positions 28 to 507 of the family's 1533-position model. The record is from RNAcentral.